This 76-nucleotide transfer RNA is filed under the name Bacteroidota bacterium. Its description in RNAcentral is "tRNA-Thr". It matches the Rfam family "tRNA". Rfam says of the family: Transfer RNA (tRNA) molecules are approximately 80 nucleotides in length. Their secondary structure includes four short double-helical elements and three loops (D, anti-codon, and T loops). RNAcentral also lists the same sequence under 3 other names. The record is from RNAcentral. Lineage: Bacteria; Pseudomonadati; Bacteroidota.
GCUGGGGUAGCUCAGUUGGUAGAGCAGCUCACUCGUAAUGAGAAGGUCGCAGGUUCGAUUCCCGCUCUCAGCACCA